GGAAGGAUCAUUAACAAGUCGUGUCGCCGUGGCGCUCUCAGGGGCGCCCGCAGACAUUAUAAUCCCGGGGCAACCCGGCAGAUACAUGUACGAAAAGUGAGAACGCGGGCAAAGCAUACAAACUUUUAACAAUGGAUCUCUUGGCUCUUGCAUCGAUGAAGAACGCAGCAAAGUGCGAAAUGUAGUGCGAUUUGCAACUUCUGUGAGUCAUCGAGUCUUUGAACGCAUAUUGCACCAAGUGCGCAAGCACCUGGUAUGCCUGUUUGAGAAUCAUUUACAAAUUAUUGUCCUUAUGACGAGUUGUGCCCGCAGCGAUGGGGCGUUAAGUUCCGUGUUGAUGUGUCAAGCAUUCAUCUCUGCCCUUCCACAUCAUGAUCUCAAAUCAGGCAAGACUACCCGCCGAACUUAAGCAUAUCAGUAAGCGGAGGAAAAGAAACUAACUAGGAUUCCCCCAGUAACGGCGAGUGAACCGGGAAGAGCUCAAAUUUUAAAUCUGGAGGCCCUGCCUUCCGAAUUGUAGUUUAAAGACAUUUGCCAUUGGGCGCAGCCGGCCGUGCAAGUCUCCUGGAAUGGGGCGUCACAGAGGGUGAGAAUCCCGUUUGGACGGUGGGCGGCGCUCCGCGGCGCUUGUCAAAGAGUCGAGUUGUUUGGGAAUGCAACUCAAAAUGGGUGGUAAAUUUCAUCUAAAGCUAAAUACAGGCAAGAGACCGAUAGCAAACAAGUACCGUGAGGGAAAGAUGAAAAGCACCUUGAAAAGGGGGUUAAAUAGUGCGUGAAAUUGUUAAAAGGGAAACGAUUGGAACCGGUAUUGUCGCAAGACAAGUCGGCGUCGGCUGCGAGCCCGCGACCAGGCCCUCUGGAAGGUGACGCUGCCUGCAGCGUUUUACAGACUGAGGGAGCCAGGCGGGCCGUCUUCCGAUCAUGUGCGCUCUACGGAGUGGCGGUCCGACCCCGGGGUGUUUGAAGCUGUGCACGCACAGCCCAUGCUGCCCCGGGGCCGCCGCCGCCACUGCAUGUGCACGCGCUGGUGAGGUGGUUCCAAACGACCCGUCUUGAAACACGGACCAAGGAGUCUAACGUAUAUGCGAGUAUUUGGGUGGCAAACCCGGAUGCGCAACGAAAGUAACCGAUAGGACGCCUCCGGCGGCACUAUUGGCCAAUCUCCAUUCGUGGCAGAUUGAGUGCGAGCAUAUCUGUUGGGACCCGAAAGAUGGUGAACUAUGCCUGAAUAGGGUGAAGCCAGAGGAAACUCUGGUGGAAGCUCGUAGCCGUUCUGACGUGCAAAUCGAUGGUCAAAUUUGGGUAUAGGGGCGAAAGACUAAUCGAACCAUCUAGUAGCUGGUUCCCUC
RNAcentral lists this unclassified non-coding RNA (1349 nucleotides) under uncultured fungus. Its description in RNAcentral is "sequence contains 18S rRNA gene, ITS1, 5.8S rRNA gene, ITS2, 28S rRNA gene". The stretch from base 373 to 1349 matches the Rfam family "Eukaryotic large subunit ribosomal RNA", at positions 1 to 961 of the family's 3401-position model. Lineage: Eukaryota; Fungi. The record is from RNAcentral.